RNAcentral lists this long non-coding RNA (287 nucleotides) under Mytilus galloprovincialis (Mediterranean mussel). The record is from RNAcentral. Lineage: Eukaryota; Metazoa; Mollusca; Bivalvia; Mytilida; Mytilidae.
CUUGUGUAUAUAAAAAAGAAGAUGUGGUAUGAUUGCCAAUGAGACAACUACAUGUAUCCACAAAAGACCAAAAUGACACAGACAUUAACAACUAUAAGUCACUGUACGACCUUAACAAUACAUGAUAUAAGCUUAUUAUUUCACUUGCAUAUAUGAAGAACUCGUCACAAAACAUGCAAAAGGGUUUCAUAUGAAAUAAAAUUUAAAAAAUAAAAUCCUCCCACCCGCCCCAUUUUUUUCAAAAAUUUGGAUGAAAAUCUACUAAUUAAUUUUAGUUGGCCUUAACU